AUAUUUUGAUCAUGGCUCAGACGGAACGCUAGCGUUAGGCCUGCAACAUGCAAGUCGAACGAGAUUAAGAGGCUUGCUUCUUAUGCAAGUGGCGCACGGGUGCGUAACGCGUAUGCAACCUACCUUAAUCAGGCAUAUAGCCCGAAGAAAUUCGGAUUAAGACCGCAUAAAAACACAGGAUAGCAUUAUCCAAUGUUCAAAUAUUUAUAGGAUUAAGAUGGGCAUGCGUGUCAUUAGCUAGUUGGCGGGGUAACGGCCCACCAAGGCGACGAUGACUAGGGGAUCUGAGAGGAUGACCCCCCACACUGGUACUGAGACACGGACCAGACUCCUACACUAGGCAGCAGUAAGGAAUAUUGGUCAAUGGAGGGAACUCUGAACCAGCCAUGCCGCGUGCAGGAAGACAGCCCUCUGGGUCGUAAACUGCUAAUAUUCGGGAAUAAACCUUUCUACGUGUAGGAAGCUGAAUGUACCGAAGGAAUAAGGAUCGGCUAACUCCGUGCCAGCAGCCGCGGUAAUACGGAGGAUCCAAGCGUUAUCCGGAUUGCUUGGGUUUAAUCGGUGCGUAGGCGGCUUAUUAAGUCAGGGGUGAAAGACGGUGGCUCAACCAUCGCAGUGCCCUUGAUACUGAACUGCUUGAAUACACUAGAGGUAGGCGGAAUGUGACAAGUAGCGGUGAAAUGCAUAGAUAUGUCACAGAACACCGAUUGCGAAGAUGGCUUACUAUGGUGCCAUUGACGCUGAGGCACGGUGGGGAUCACGAAGGAUUAGAUACCCUGGUAGUCCACGCCCUAAACGAUGAAUACUCGCUGUUAGCGAUAUACAGUUAGCGGCUAAGCGAUGCGUUAAGUAUUCCACCUGUCGAGUACGCCAAUCGUGAAACUCAAAUCUAUUGACGGAGCGCACAAUCGGAGGAGCAUGUGGUUUAAUUCGAUGAUACGCGAGACCUUACCCGGGCUACUAAGUUAGUGAAUGAUCUAGAGAUAGAUCAGUGAGCGUGCACACGAAACUAGGUGCCAUAUGGCUGUCGUCAGCUCGUGCCAGGUGUUGGGUUAAGUCCCGCAACGAGCGCAACUUGAUGUUUAGUUGCCAGCACGUUACAUUGAUCACUCUAAACAGACUGCCUGUGCAAACAGAGAGGAAGACGACGUCAAGUCAUCAUGGCCCUUACGUCCGACUUUACACACGUGCUACAAUGGAUGGUACAGAGGGCAGCAAGCUGGCAACAGCAAGCGAAUCUCAAAAAGCCAUUCACAGUUCGGAUAGAGGUCUGCAACUCGACCUCUUGAAGUUGGAUUCGCUAGUAAUCGCGUAUCAGCAAUGACGCGGUGAAUACGUUCCCGGGCCUUGUACACACCGCCCGUCAAGCCAUGGAAGUUGGAUGUACCUAAAGUAUGUAACCGUAACUUGCGUCCUAGGGUACGCCCGAUAACUAAGUCGUAACAAGACAUCGAG
This 1455-nucleotide ribosomal RNA is filed under the name uncultured Pedobacter sp. RNAcentral describes it as "bacterial SSU rRNA". It matches the Rfam family "Bacterial small subunit ribosomal RNA". The record is from RNAcentral. Lineage: Bacteria; Pseudomonadati; Bacteroidota; Sphingobacteriia; Sphingobacteriales; Sphingobacteriaceae.